CCGUUUUUCAAAGCAAAUAAAGAAGCAGGACUGUUUAUAUUCUAAAUAUAUUAUUUCCACUCUUGUUUGUCUAAAUGUCAUUAGAGGAGAUGCCUUAUCUGAUACCAUUCUCCUUCUGCUAGAAACAGCUAGCGUGUUUGUUUUUGGCAGACAGAGCUGCUCAGAGCAUCAGGACAAGCUGCAGGUGCUAUCAGAGAGCGUUUUACUUCAAGUGAUGACUGGCAUCAAGAGACGUAGCCGGGAUGUCCUUCCCUCUGCACGGCCGCCGAAGGAAGGAUGCAGCGUACUGGGGAGUUCAGUGGUGUUGAAGACAACCCUGACCAUUUCCGAGCACCUCGUGGGAGGCCGAGGAGGAGCGGGAAGCAGAGCUGAGCAUCACUGCCCUGCAGCCCUGCCUGGCUGCUGCCAGCAUUACCCCUGCCUGCCCUCCAGCUGCACGACGCAAAGCCCAUGCAGAACUGCCAUGGCAGGUAGGCAACUUUCAGCCCAGUCUAAAGUAAAUCUGAUUCCUGAAGGUGAAGAAGGUUAA
Molecule: long non-coding RNA, 529 nt
Filed under: Anser brachyrhynchus (Pink-footed goose)
Lineage: Eukaryota; Metazoa; Chordata; Aves; Anseriformes; Anatidae
Description: lncRNA (ENSABRG00000016744.1)
Source: RNAcentral